RNAcentral lists this ribosomal RNA (433 nucleotides) under uncultured bacterium. RNAcentral's name for it is "partial 16S ribosomal RNA". It matches the Rfam family "Bacterial small subunit ribosomal RNA", at positions 29 to 507 of the family's 1533-position model. The record is from RNAcentral.
AACGAACGCUGGCGGCAGGCCUAACACAUGCAAGUCGAGCGGACCCUUCGGGGUUAGCGGCGGACGGGUGAGUAACGCGUGGGAAUAUGCCCUUCUCUACGGAAUAGUCCUGGGAAACUGGGGGUAAUACCGUAUACGCCCUUUGGGGGAAAGAUUUAUCGGGGAAGGAUUAGCCCGCGUUGGAUUAGGUAGUUGGUGGGGUAAUGGCCUACCAAGCCGACGAUCCAUAGCUGGUUUGAGAGGAUGAUCAGCCACACUGGGACUGAGACACGGCCCAGACUCCUACGGGAGGCAGCAGUGGGGAAUCUUAGACAAUGGGGGCAACCCUGAUCUAGCCAUGCCGCGUGAGUGAUGAAGGCCUUAGGGUUGUAAAGCUCUUUCAUCUGGGAAGAUAAUGACGGUACCAGCAGAAGAAGCCCCGGCUAACUCCGUG